AGCGAUAUAGUGUAAUGGUGUGCACGACAGUUUCAUGGCCUGUUAGAUUGGGUUCGAUUCCUUUACUCGCUA
Molecule: transfer RNA, 72 nt
Organism: Trametes pubescens
Lineage: Eukaryota; Fungi; Basidiomycota; Agaricomycetes; Polyporales; Polyporaceae
Rfam family: tRNA
About the family: Transfer RNA (tRNA) molecules are approximately 80 nucleotides in length.
Source: Rfam